Molecule: long non-coding RNA, 522 nt
Organism: Rhinolophus ferrumequinum (greater horseshoe bat)
Lineage: Eukaryota; Metazoa; Chordata; Mammalia; Chiroptera; Rhinolophidae
Exons: 4
Source: RefSeq, a predicted model, not a curated record
UGCCCUAAAAAACUGACCAAAGUAGGGCUACCCCUUGCUGAAACUUUGAAUUUCAGCCAUAUGGGUCUGUCUGGGAAGACCACAAGGCCAUCCUCCCUCUGAUGACUGCCAGGACUCACCUUUCCUGCCUAUCUCCACCUGUUGUGCCCAAUUCAGGAGGGUCAAAAAUGUAACAGACCAGAAGAAGGCACUCCAGGACUAGUGUGGAAGCUGUUCUAUGAGGUUAUCCACAGAUUCAGUCUCCCCGUCAUUGCCGGAAUGGCCCUCUCAUCCAUAAGGCCAGCAGUCUGAAUUGGCUCAACUGGUUUCUCUGCUUCCGGUUUCAGAAGGCCAUGAUCAAGAUAUUGGCCAGCUGGGCUCUUAUUGGGAAGCUCGGAAAGAAUCUGCUUCCAAGCUCAUAUCAGAUGGCGGAAGACAUCAAGUCCGAAUGCAAGACAGAGGAUAAAAGAGAGCUUCAGACAGCAUUUGCAAACUGGUAGCCUGCUGAACAGAUCCAGUCCACAGAUGUGUUUGAUUUGGCCC